Molecule: ribosomal RNA, 255 nt
Filed under: uncultured bacterium
Lineage: Bacteria
Description: partial 16S ribosomal RNA
Rfam family: Bacterial small subunit ribosomal RNA
Source: RNAcentral
CACGUAGGGCGCAAGCGUUGUCCGGAAUUAUUGGGCGUAAAGAGCUCGUAGGCGGUCUGUCGCGUCGGCUGUGAAAACCCGGGGCUCAACCCCGGGCCUGCAGUCGAUACGGGCAGACUAGAGUGCGGAAGGGGCAAUCGGAAUUCUUGGUGUAGCGGUGAAAUGCGUAGAUAUCAAGAGGAACACCUGAGGUGAAGACGGGUUGCUGGGCCGACACUGACGCUGAGUGCGCGAAAGCCAGGGGAGCAAACGGGG